Molecule: long non-coding RNA, 2172 nt
Organism: Chenopodium quinoa (quinoa)
Lineage: Eukaryota; Viridiplantae; Streptophyta; Magnoliopsida; Caryophyllales; Amaranthaceae
Exons: 2
Source: RefSeq, a predicted model, not a curated record
CUUUUGCUCUAUCUUCUUUCCUUUUGGACGCCGCCGUACUUUAGUGUAUGAUCACAGUGAGGUUCAAGAAGGGGGUUAACGCUUGAAUUUAUUCCCCACAAAUAGCUUACUUGUUUUUUUUCCCUAUCUUUCCAUUUUCUCCCAAUAUUUUCUCUUUUUAAUUUGCUUAUAUGCAUAUGGUGUUUGCUGCUAAAAUUUAUGUUGUCAAAUUAGAUAUUGCUGUUGUGAGUGACUAUAGAGGGUAGCUGUUGUUUCACGUUGUUGCUGCUGUAAUUCUGGUGCUGCCCUGUUACUAAUGUUCUUUUCGUCCAAAAAUCAUUGAUCUGAAGUUGUUUUUAGCUCAUAGUCCCUUCAUCAGUGUUUUAGAUCUCGAAACAUUAUUCAAUCGAGGCUCAAGAAUUUCUCGAUUUGGAGUUGUGUGCUAGGAGUUAUGCCUUCUGGAAUUUACUGCGGUCUGCUACCCUGGUUUUAUCGCAGCGGGCUGUUAUUGCUCAUUUGAUGCCUAUGUGGUAUUGUUGUGUUGAGUUGGUUGGGGUGCUAAAAUAAAUGCUUGGGCUUCUCUUAUUUAUUUUGUCUUCCCUUCUUCCAUUUAUUUACACAUUAGUUAUAAAGUUAAAAUGUCGCCAAUUUUGACUAAUGACUAUUAGGAUAUUGACUAAUUGAUAAUUUGCCAAAGUGAUGAGGAUUAAUGUAUAUGUUAAAUUUUGAAAUGUGUGACUGACUAAAGUUAAUUAGUUUAAAUGUAUUAAAGGGUUUUAAUGUUUAUAAAAUAGAUUUGAUGAACGAACACUAAUCUCCCCAAGUUUAUUCAUCACUCUUAAUCAACUUCUUAUUUCGUAUUACAUGAGUCUUUUGUUGUUUUCAUUAAAUGAGGUGAGAAAAUAUAUAUAUGUAAAGGUUUGUAAAUAAUGUAUGUCUAGAUAAGGGUUGUGUUCUAUUUAUAUGAGUGUAAUAACUUAUCAAGUGAGUUUGGGAAGUAUUAAGGAGUCAAUCACAAAGAAGUCAUUUUUGAUAUGAUAGUCUCCUUAUAAUUUAUUAAAAUAUAUAUUAGCAUACAACUGGUUACUUGAGAAUCCUUUAUCUUUUCUACUGUAAUAUUAGCAGCAAUUGCAGGUUGGUGCAAAAUAAUGCAGUGCUUGAAGUUAGAGUCUUGUGCUUCUAUAACAAAAAAGAAAAUUCAACUGUGUGGCCCUCCUUGACUCCAUAUCAACUUAACUACCAAAAAAGCAACCUGGACAUCCUUGUUAGAGUAAAGAGGUGGGCAUUACCUAAAUUCCAAAUCUGGUCGGGGGUCUUGAUGAGUUUAAGCGUACGUCUCUUCCCGUUUCUUUGAAUAUUUAGAUUGCGCAAUUAUACUUCAGUUGCAAUUAUCUACAUCAAUGUUUCUGUUAUUCAUACUUCUUUUGUGUGUUUCUAUACAUGUCUUCUUGUGUAAAAUCUUGAUGACCUAUGAGCAUUAAUGUACCUCUGAGGUUUCAUUCUGGUACAUCUAUUGUUGCUGCCUCCUAUGCUGCUUAUAAUGUUGUUGAAUGUUAAUAUCAUUGUUCUAUGUAGCAUUACUGAAAGAUCAUUGUCCUAUUGAAUUAUUUGACAUUGAUACACUGUAAGUCCAAUUCAAAAAAAGCAAGAAAAGUGUGGAUUCUGGGUACUUGCCACGUUUUAGUUUUUUUUUUUUUUUUUUUUUUGUUAAAAUUAUGAACCAUGAUUGUGUUUUGGUAGAAUUUAUCUAACUUCUACUUUAGCUGACAUCUCUUUACAGGAUUAAUGAUAUUUUUUAGCUUGAAAUCAGCCCAAAACACUUAUUUAGGUCAACAUGGAUUCUUUAUAAACGUCCAUACCUUUUUUUUUUUUUUUUUUUUUUUUUUUGUCUUUCUUUUUGAAGAAGAUGUGCUUACUUGGAAUAGUGCAGUAUGGUCUCUUAAAACUCUUAGUGAAAGAACACAAUUAAGAGGUCUUGUCUAAAGUAAAAUCUAGGAUGUAAUAUAUUUAGAAUGACCUUUUUUUAUUAGUUCUUAAGAAAUAGCAAGUGUAUCUUUAAAGCUUUUUGAUAAUUUAAGGGGUCGCACGUGAUCGUUGAUUCUAAUGGUUAUGACACACCAUGUAAAUUGCAACCACGUGUUGAGAUAGCGUGACGGUAAUGACUCUAAUGUAUCUAAGAACUUUAGAUUGCUA